AGUGAACGCUGGCGGUAGGCCUAACACAUGCAAGUCGAACGGCAGCACAGUAAGAGCUUGCUCUUACGGGUGGCGAGUGGCGGACGGGUGAGGAAUACAUCGGAAUCUACUUUUUCGUGGGGGAUAACGUAGGGAAACUUACGCUAAUACCGCAUACGACCUACGGGUGAAAGCAGGGGAUCUUCGGACCUUGCGCGAUUGAAUGAGCCGAUGUCGGAUUAGCUAGUUGGCGGGGUAAAGGCCCACCAAGGCGACGAUCCGUAGCUGGUCUGAGAGGAUGAUCAGCCACACGGGAACUGAGACACGGUCCAGACUCCUACGGGAGGCAGCAGUGGGGAAUAUUAGACAAUGGGCGCAAGCCUGAUACAGCCAUACCGCGUGGGUGAAGAAGGCCUUCGGGUUGUAAAGACCUUUUGUUGGGAAAGAAAAGCAGCAGGUUAAUACCCCGCUGUUCUGACGGUACCCAAAGAAUAAGCACCGGCUAACUUCGUG
This 492-nucleotide ribosomal RNA is filed under the name uncultured bacterium. RNAcentral's name for it is "partial 16S ribosomal RNA". It matches the Rfam family "Bacterial small subunit ribosomal RNA", at positions 29 to 507 of the family's 1533-position model. The record is from RNAcentral.